GAUAAACGCUGGCGGCGUGCCUAACACAUGCAAGUCGAACGUCCGUGCGGCAACGCACGGGAGUGGCGGACGGGUGAGUAACACGUGGGUGACCUAUCCCCAAGUGAGGAAUACCGGCGAGAAAUCGCCGACAACUCCGCAUAGCCUCGAGAGAUCGAGGAAAGUCUCGCAAGAGAUGCUUAGGGAGGGGCCUGCGCCCGAUUAGUUAGUUGGUGGGGUAAUGGCCUACCAAGGCUGCGAUCGGUAGCUGGUCUGAGAGGACGAUCAGCCACACUGGGAUUGAGAACGGCCCAGACUCCUACGGGGGGC
RNAcentral lists this ribosomal RNA (309 nucleotides) under uncultured bacterium. RNAcentral's name for it is "bacterial SSU rRNA". It matches the Rfam family "Bacterial small subunit ribosomal RNA", at positions 28 to 349 of the family's 1533-position model. The record is from RNAcentral.